This 442-nucleotide ribosomal RNA is filed under the name uncultured bacterium. RNAcentral's name for it is "partial 16S ribosomal RNA". It matches the Rfam family "Bacterial small subunit ribosomal RNA", at positions 338 to 795 of the family's 1533-position model. The record is from RNAcentral.
CCUACGGGUGGCUGCAGUGGGGAAUAUUGGGCAAUGGGCGCAAGCCUGACCCAGCAACGCAGCGUGAAGGAAGAAGGCUCUCGGGUUGUAAACUUCUUUUGUCAGGGAAGAGUAGUAGACGGUACCUGACGAAUAAGCCACGGCUAACUACGUGCCAGCAGCCGCGGUAAUACGGAGGUGGCAGGCGUUGUCCGGAUUUACUGGGUGUACAGGGCGUGUAGCCGGGUUGACAAGUCAGAUGUGAAAUCCUGCGGCUUAACCGCAGAAUUGCAUUUGAAACUGUUGAUCUUGAGUAUUGGGGAGGCAGACGGAAUUCCUAGUGUAGCGGUGAAAUGCGUAGAUAUUAGGAGGAACACCAGUUGCGAAGGCGGUCUACUGAACAGCAACUGACAGUGAGGCGCGAAAGCGUGGGGAGCAAACAGGAUUAGAUACCCUUGUAGUC